ACCGCUUCAUCUUGAUCUUAGCUUUCCAGGAAAUAAAUGGAGAUGAGAAUUAUAAAGCAAAACUUUUUGACCAACAUCAAAUGUUUUUCUCAAGAUUCUCUUGUCAUGAAACUCUUUGAUUCUUGCUUUAUGAAUUUUUGAAUUCUCAUAUGCAUCAUUUCUUAUUUCCUCAAACUUAUUUAUUUAUAACUUAUGCAUCUGGC
RNAcentral lists this long non-coding RNA (203 nucleotides) under Populus trichocarpa (black cottonwood). RNAcentral's name for it is "long non-coding RNA (PTRI_LNC000878)". The record is from RNAcentral. Lineage: Eukaryota; Viridiplantae; Streptophyta; Magnoliopsida; Malpighiales; Salicaceae.